This 497-nucleotide ribosomal RNA is filed under the name uncultured bacterium. RNAcentral's name for it is "partial 16S ribosomal RNA". It matches the Rfam family "Bacterial small subunit ribosomal RNA", at positions 28 to 507 of the family's 1533-position model. The record is from RNAcentral.
GAUGAACGCUGGCGGCGUGCCUAAUACAUGCAAGUCGAGCGAACGGACGAGAAGCUUGCUUCUCUGAUGUUAGCGGCGGACGGGUGAGUAACACGUGGAUAACCUACCUAUAAGACUGGGAUAACUUCGGGAAACCGGAGCUAAUACCGGAUAAUAUUUUGAACCGCAUGGUUCAAAAGUGAAAGACGGUCUUGCUGUCACUUAUAGAUGGAUCCGCGCUGCAUUAGCUAGUUGGUAAGGUAACGGCUUACCAAGGCAACGAUGCAUAGCCGACCUGAGAGGGUGAUCGGCCACACUGGAAGUGAGACACGGUCCAGACUCCAACGGGAGGCAGCAGUAGGGAAUCUUCCGCAAUGGGCGGAAGCCUGACGGAGCAACGCCGCGUGAGUGAUGAAGGUCUUCGGAUCGUAAAACUCUGUUAUUAGGGAAGAACAUAUGUGUAAGUAACUGUGCACAUCUUGACGGUACCUAAUCAGAAAGCCACGGCUAACUACGUG